RNAcentral lists this unclassified non-coding RNA (2640 nucleotides) under Neodiprion pinetum (white pine sawfly). RNAcentral describes it as "protein tramtrack, alpha isoform-like, transcript variant X4". The record is from RNAcentral. Lineage: Eukaryota; Metazoa; Arthropoda; Insecta; Hymenoptera; Diprionidae.
AGUCAGGGGCAGGGCAGGGCAGGGCAGCCAGAUAACGGCAUGGAACUCGAACACUAACUUUAAGCAGCGGCGUUGCGUUAAGCAAGCGGGAAGAGGCGAACCGAACCGAACCGAACGAACGAACGAACGAACGAACGAACGAAUGAACCCCGGGCGAUACUCCGCACACCCCUCGCUCAUCGUCAGUUCCCCGCUGUCCGUUGGUACGUUCGCACGUCCGUCCAUUCUUCAGACAUAACCAAUCGUCCGUAUUUCUAGUUAUUAUCAUCAGUUUUACCCGUUGACAACUGUUGUUUUCGCGAAUAUUGUUAAGCGGGAGAAAGGAGAGGCGAGUGUUUUUACGAUACUACCUUUCCUCGAUUUCGGACGUUAGCCGUCGGUCAGGUUUAUACGGUUGGAAAAUGACGGUGCGGUAAACGUGGUUGUAAUAUCGUCGCGGCCUGCUCCGACUUGAUAUAUACCUAUCAUACCUACUCGUUCCGAAUUCGCCCUGUGACGUCGCUGCCGGGAGAUAAAGGCCAUGUGCUCACGAAGCAUACGUACGUACAGUGGUAUUCGACGACGAGAACGUAAUUGAGACUGAUACCUUCGAUCGUCGCGCUGCACAGGUGGACUUUCCUUUUUUGUGCUACAUGCGUACACGUAUUUUCGUACCAGUGGUGAUGAUGAUCAUUAGCGUGAUAGUAGCCGUAGUAUAUCAGUGCCGUGUGAAAUAGAUUCCUUGUGUGCAGUGAGGUCAUGUGUGUGGGUUUGUGCGCGUCGGUUUUAAACUAACGACUCGAAAUUAGGAAAUUUGUGUCCUCGAACCAAUAAAUGAUCGAUGAGCUACAACCCGAAACUGAACUCGAGAUACGUGCAAUGUACUCUGUGUAAUGGAAAAAAGUUAUAAAAAUUAAGCAACCGGAAGAAGAAGGACUGAGAGACGACGACGACGACGACGACGACGAAGACGACGACGACAACAACGACGGCGACGACGACGAAGAAAAAAAAGAAAAAGAAACAGAGAAAGAAAAAGAAAAGGAAACGGAAAAGGUAAAAGAAAGUGGGCGUGGACAAGGAAGGGAGGAAGAGAGAAAAAUCUUAAAACAAUCAAGAGUUAAGGUCUGAUGUUAGCGGACAUAAACGGGAACCUGGCGGAUCUGAGAAGCGAAGCUAUGGCGUCGCAGAGGUUUUGUCUCCGCUGGAACAACCACCAAAGCAAUCUGCUAUCCGUUUUCGAUCAGCUACUACACGACGAAUCAUUCGUCGACGUCACCCUGGCCGUUGAGGGCCAGCUACUCAGAGCUCACAAAAUGGUCCUCUCCGCAUGCAGUCCCUAUUUCCAGGCACUGUUCGUCGGACAUCCCGACAAGCACCCAAUAGUGAUAUUGAAGGAUGUACCGUACGUCGACAUGCGAAGCCUACUGGACUUUAUGUAUCGCGGUGAAGUGAGCGUAGACCAGGACAGGCUGACGGCUUUUCUCCGGGUCGCCGAGUCCUUGAGGAUCAAAGGGUUGACCGAGGUAAACGAGGACAAGUGUGACCUGCCUAGUAUAACGUCGUCGUUGUACGGUAACCAAAACUCCGUCGCACCGCCGCCGCCGAAUUUGCACCGGAUAAACCAGGCGGGUUCACAGCAGCAACACGUCACCUCGCAAAAAAGGUUUCAGACGAUGUCGAGCCACCCUCUGCUCGGCUCGGCACUCACGGCACCGAAACGGAAACGGGGCAGACCCAGGAAACUAAGCGGUUCGUCCGACACACCCCUCGACUCGAAGGGUGACGGCCAGGGAUCCGGCGGCGAUCUCGUCCAGGGAUCGCCAGAGAUGAUGGAAAUGAAAAUGGGACUUGAUUUCCAGAGCGAGACCAACAGUACGAGGAACAGCGAGCCCACGGAAAAUGGUACCGACACACCGGAGCCUGUCACGCCGAAAGUCAAACGAGAACCAGAGCCAACGCCUAGUACCUCGGCGCAAGCUCCAGACGAGACAUUUGCUCGGCCGCCUAGUAGACAGGGAAGCGAAGGUUUCCAGCAAGACAACCUGCCCUGCAAUUUGCCGAGCGACAUAACGUUCGAGAUAUGCACUUCGCCCGCCAGCCGAGACGACGCUUCUUUGUAUGCUGAGACGGGGGUCGGUGCGGGGGUCGGUGAGUCGUCGUCGUCGUCGUCGCCGUUCGUGAAAACUGAGCGCAUCGCAAGCGGGGUCCACUUUUUGACCGACCAAGAGGAGGACCAGCGGCGGGAUCUUGUCGGGAAGUCCGAGCUGAGCGUGGAAACGGAGCCCGAGGUCCGGAAACAGUCUGCAAAUGGUGCGGCGAGGUCCUACCCUCUCGAACACGGUGGUACAGGCACAAGUACAAGCUCCACGUGUCGACCCAGGUCGCCCAGCCGGCGCCCCUCUUCAAGUGCCACAGCUGCAACGCCUACUUCAAGUCGCGGAAGGGAUACAUCGGGCACCUGAGCUCGAGGCACUCGGACAACGAGAACGACGAGAACAGGGAAGAACCGCUGAACAAGAAGACGCGGAGAACCUCCGAACGUCGAUUUGUCGAUUACAGCAGAUGGGAAAAGGCCCGGACUGGGAACAGCAGAGGGAAAAGGAGGAGAAACUUGUCGCGGACAUAAUCGACAGAGUUAAGCGGGAAUGCGAGGCUCAG